Molecule: long non-coding RNA, 883 nt
Organism: Hemicordylus capensis (graceful crag lizard)
Lineage: Eukaryota; Metazoa; Chordata; Lepidosauria; Squamata; Cordylidae
Exons: 4
Source: RefSeq, a predicted model, not a curated record
GGGACGGGGGAGGGGGAAAACCUGGGGAGAACUAGGCGGCCUCUGAUCAGAAGUUCAGAUAAAGAGGGUCACUGUAAUUUGCUGGCACAGAUUAAAAAUAACCCAGCAGAUGUGGGAGCUAGAAAGCUAUAAAAACAGCCUAGGAAGGUCUCAGAUAACAUUUCUAAAUAUUCCACAGAGAACUCAAGUAUCUACCAGCCUUUGGACAAAGAGGGAAAGAAAGUGAAGGAGGCUUUUGCCCAGUACAUCUGAAAAUGCGGUUUUAGGAGGGAGCGAAAGAAAAGCUCCCAACAUCUAUCAAAUGAAAACAGAUAUAUAGUAACAUGUAACAUGGGUGUUCCACAUGGAAAUCGAUAUGCACACCAAUUUGAUUAUUCCCACUCAAAGAAAAGAAAAAAGAAAGAAAAGGAAAAAGAAAAGGAGGCUCAUCGUUGUGACAUCUGAGUAUCUAAAAAUGAUGGGUUAUCUAAGCCACAAAUUACACGAGAGAUUUGAUUGGAAUCAAAUUAAUUGACAUCACUAUCUAAGAAAUCAGAUUGCUGCAGUUCCCAGUCUGAACACAUGCAAGCAUUUAGUUCAUCACAUGCCGUGUGCAAUUUCCAUAUCAUUGCUAGACUUGCUGUUUUCCCUCACUACUGAUACUAAAAUAAGAGCACAACAAUAUUGGUUUUUGCCAUUUUCUGUUUCAUCGGAGCUCUCCUAUUGCCACCCAUUUGUGAAAAAAAGACAUAGUAGUACUCAUUGGCUUUGUGCAUGAAUUCUCAGUUAUCAUUUGUUAAUUACAAACUUAAUUAAUAAUAGCUUUUAAUAACUUUCUUUAUAUGACCACCCCAUAACAAAUUGUUCUCUGGGUGGCUCACAAAAAAACAAAAACAAAAGAGUA